This 592-nucleotide ribosomal RNA is filed under the name uncultured bacterium. RNAcentral describes it as "bacterial SSU rRNA". It matches the Rfam family "Bacterial small subunit ribosomal RNA", at positions 232 to 822 of the family's 1533-position model. The record is from RNAcentral.
CGCGGCCUAUCAGCUUGUUGGUGGGGUGAUGGCCUACCAAGGCGACGACGGGUAGCCGGCCUGAGAGGGUGUCCGGCCACACUGGGACUGAGAUACGGCCCAGACUCCUACGGGAGGUAGCAGUGGGGAAUAUUGCACAAUGGGCGCAAGCCUGAUGCAGCGACGCCGCGUGGGGGAUGACGGCCUUCGGGUUGUAAACCUCUUUCACCAUCGGCGAAGCCCAUAGCUUGCGUUGUGGGUGACGGUAGGUGGAGAAGAAGCACCGGCCAACUACGUGCCAGCAGCCGCGGUAAUACGUAGGGUGCGAGCGUUGUCCGGAAUUACUGGGCGUAAAGAGCUCGUAGGUGGUUUGUCGCGUUGUCCGUGAAAUUCCCUGGCUUAACUGGGGGCGUGCGGGCGAUACGGGCAGACUGGAGUACUGCAGGGGAGACUGGAAUUCCUGGUGUAGCGGUGGAAUGCGCAGAUAUCAGGAGGAACACCGGUGGCGAAGGCGGGUCUCUGGGCAGUAACUGACGCUGAGGAGCGAAAGCGUGGGGAGCGAACAGGAUUAGAUACCCUGGUAGUCCACGCCGUAAACGGUGGGUACUAGGUG